GUGGAGGGAACGCGGGGAAGUGAAACAUCUCAGUACCCGUAGGAAGAGAAAACAACCGUGAUUCCGUGAGUAGUGGCGAGCGAAAGCGGAUGAGGCUAAACCGUGCACAUGUCAAGCUGUCAGGCGUUGUGUGUGCGGUGUUGUGGGACCCGCCUUGGAAGAUCUGACAGUCUUCCGGGUCUACGCGAGUGUUAGUGGAACUGUUUGGGAAAGCAGACCGGAGUGGGUGAGAGUCCCGUACGCGAAAACACUUGUUGUAGGUCUUGGUGGUGUUCCCGAGUAGCAGCGAGCUCGUGGAAUUUGCUGUGAAUCUGCCGGGACCACCCGGUAAGCCUAAAUACUUCCUGAAGACCGAUAGCGGACUAGUACCGUGAGGGAAAGAUGAAAAGUACCCCGGGAGGGGAGUGAAAGAGUACCUGAAACCGUGUGCCUACAAGCCGUCAGAGCCUUCGGGUGAUGGCGUGCCUUUUGAAGAAUGAGCCUGCGAGUUAGUGCUGCGUGGCGAGGUUAACCCGUGUGGGGUAGCCGUAGCGAAAGCGAGUCUGAAUAGGGCGAUUUUAGUCGCGUGGUCUAGACCCGAAGCGGAGUGAUCUACCCAUGGCCAGGGUGAAGCGACGGUAAGACGUCGUGGAGGCCCGAACCCACUUAGGUUGAAAACUGAGGGGAUGAGCUGUGGGUAGGGGUGAAAGGCCAAUCAAACUCCGUGAUAGCUGGUUCUCCCCGAAAUGCAUUUAGGUGCAGCGUCACAUGUUUCUCCACGGGGGUAGAGCUACUGGAUGGUCUAGGGGCCUUACCGGGUUACCGAAAUCAACCAAACUCCGAAUACCGUGGUGUGAGAGUGUGGCAGUGAGACGGCGGGGGAUAAGCUUCGUCGUCGAGAGGGAAACAGCCCAGAACACCAGCUAAGGCCCCUAAGUGUGUGCUCAGUGGGAAAGGAUGUGGGAUUGCCCAGACAACCAGGAGGUUGGCUUAGAAGCAGCCACCCUUGAAAGAGUGCGUAAUAGCUCACUGGUCAAGUGGUCCUGCGCCGACAAUGUAGCGGGGCUUAAGCAC
RNAcentral lists this ribosomal RNA (1053 nucleotides) under Amycolatopsis xylanica. RNAcentral describes it as "Bacterial large subunit ribosomal RNA". It matches the Rfam family "Bacterial large subunit ribosomal RNA", at positions 174 to 1189 of the family's 2925-position model. Lineage: Bacteria; Bacillati; Actinomycetota; Actinomycetes; Pseudonocardiales; Pseudonocardiaceae. The record is from Rfam by way of RNAcentral.